This 253-nucleotide ribosomal RNA is filed under the name uncultured bacterium. Its description in RNAcentral is "partial 16S ribosomal RNA". It matches the Rfam family "Bacterial small subunit ribosomal RNA", at positions 524 to 776 of the family's 1533-position model. The record is from RNAcentral.
UACGGGGGGGGCAAGCGUUGUUCGGAAUUACUGGGCGUAAAGGGCGCGUAGGCGGCCUUCUAAGUCGGACGUGAAAUCCCUCGGCUUAACCGAGGAACUGCGUCCGAUACUGAAAGGCUUGAAUCCGGGAGAGGGAUGUGGAAUUCCAGGUGUAGCGGUGAAAUGCGUAGAUAUCAGGAGGAACACCUGCGGUGUAGACGGCUUACUGGACCAUAACUGACGCUGAGGCACGAAAGCGUGGGUAGCAAACAGG